RNAcentral lists this ribosomal RNA (207 nucleotides) under Triticum aestivum (bread wheat). RNAcentral describes it as "partial small subunit ribosomal RNA". The record is from RNAcentral. Lineage: Eukaryota; Viridiplantae; Streptophyta; Magnoliopsida; Poales; Poaceae.
AUGAAGAUCGUCGUAUGUAUGUUCGACUUCGGUUGCCGGUGCAAUAGAAUUGGCGGGAGUAUAUUAUGGCAGGAUCAGUCACCUGGGCAAACCAAAACCCUCCUCCAAGAAGAAUUGUGCUAUGCCCCCCCCGAUAUCCCUAUAGAGCGAAAGAGCUGCCUGGUGAUCCCUAGGUUGCAGCACGUCCGGUCGUUAACUCCUCGCUAG